Non-coding RNA from Camellia sinensis, 1916 nucleotides. NCBI's taxonomy places the organism in Eukaryota, Viridiplantae, Streptophyta, Magnoliopsida, Ericales, Theaceae. The record is from RefSeq and is a predicted model, not a curated record.
GAGAAGGGAAAGGAUGAGAAGACAGUCAAAGAAGAAAAGAGAGAGAGGAGAAGAGAAGAUAGAAGAGACAGAGAGAGAGAGGUCGAAACCAGAGGGGAAUCGAAGCCCUAGGGUGGAAUCGGCUUUGAGAUGUUGAUUUUCAGAUCUCCUUCGAUUCGGUCUAGUUCGCGACUAGGGUUCGCACUUCGAUCGUGCCUCGCGACUCGACUUGCUUUGCAAAGGAGUGUGUAAACAAUUGGGAUUUGAUACGAUUGAGCUAAAUGUGGGAUCACUCGGAGUUCCUGAAGAAACAUUCUUGAGAUUUAUCUGAUUGAUUAAGAGUGGUGGCCUAAAAGCCAAACCUCAAUUUGCUGUCGAGUUUAACAAGUCUGAUAUCCCCAUGAAAGGUGAUAGAGCAUUUGGGGCUUAUGUGGUCUCAAUGCCGCGAUCAUCUGGCGUGCCAAUGCUUUUUAUUGUCAGUGUUUGAUUGAUUCAAAGUUUCAUAUAUUUUAAUUUGAUUCCCUUGUCAACAUAUGGAUUUGAAAUUUUCAUAAGAUAUUUGUUUGAAUGCAUAACUAGUAAUUAUUGAUGUUUAAAGAGAAGCGAUGUGGGGAACUGAACAAUUUUUUAUCAUAACAUGCUUAAUUGCCAACGCAUAUUCAAUUUUAGGACAUCCAUUGGCCAAUCUAUUCAGGAAAUACAUUUGUAGCAUUUUUGCAAGUGAAAUUAAAUAUGGUAAAGUAUAAGCUUGAUAUGUUUUGAUUCCUUCCUGUGUCAAUAACUAGGAUGAAAAAAAGGGAAACACCAACGCAUUCCCAUAUAUAUAUAUAUAUAUAUAUUUGGCUGAGUGAGAUUUUAACACUUCGUUUUGAAAGGUGACACUGUAAGAUGAUUUAGGGUUCCUAGAGGCCGUGCUUCCAAAAUUCAAUGGGUGCUCUGUCAAAGUUAGCAUUGAAAAUGAAUACAAAAUUUCCAUGUCAAGGUGUAGAUACAUUUUCUGGUUACUCUGAUUGGGUGUCUUUAAUUUCAUUUUAUAGCAUUUAAUUAAUUGUUACUUGGUUGAGCUUUUAAAGAACUAAAAGCAAAUGGAACACAAAUAUCUCGAACUGAUAUAGAAGGUACUUGUGAAAAUUUUUAGGGAUAAGGUAAUAUAUAUUCUAUUUCAAGCAUUAAAAUGCUCUCUGUCUAUUAGAUUUCCUAAUCUUUAAGACUCGAAAUGCCCCUAGGGCUGUGCUUAGAUUUCGGAUUUGUGGAGGGAAAGAAAAAAGAGAUGGGAAAAAGUAUAUGAUGAUGUAGAAGCUAAAUUUUGUUCACUUUUCCCUUCCCAUUUCUUUUCCUUCUACAAACCAAAUAUCCAAACAUAGUGCAAGUGGUAAAGGCUAAAAAUGGUGAACAAUUUUUCCCUUUGGUUGAUGCAGCAAGUAGCUGAGUGGGUAAUGACAAUGGUGCAAGGUUUUGCUGACACUACCAGGAGAAAUUCAGGCUACUGGUGUUAAGGUUUAGCACAAUUCAGUUGCUGCUGUUCCUGAUUUGCAUGAAGUUAUGCUAGUCAAUAGGGGUUAAAAAGAGCCUGCUCUGUUUGGUGGGGAUGUUUUUAAUCAGAAAACAUUCUACAAUGCAUACAAGAAACGGUCAAAGAACAUCGAGAUUGACAUAGAAGAGUACAAUAAAAUGAAAGAAGCUGAUCCAGAAUUCUACAAAGAAGCUUCAAACCUCCAAUAUGGAAAGGCACCAAAAGUUGCCGAGGACAAGAUUGAAAGGAUGGUGAAGGAACUCAAGGACAGAGAUGAGAAGCAGGAGGAGAAGGUUUCAUGAUGAGAAAGAUACUGAUUUGAUCAAUGACCGUAAUGAACAUUUCAAUAAGAAGAUUGAGCGAGCCUUUGGGAGAUACACGCUGGAGAUGAAGAAUAACCUUGACAGAGGAACUGCUUUACCUG